GUUUUUAAUUGGCGGGGAAAGUAGCAUGAUCACGAAUGUGGUUUUUCCAGGGAGGUGGUUUCAUGCCAUACGCUCAGUAUGUGGUGAUUUCUGCGAUUUCCACAAAUGGGGGGGACUCGACUGCAUGAUUUGUGGGAGUAGGGGAAUGUGUUCGCGCUUUCUUUAG
This is a small nuclear RNA of Piliocolobus tephrosceles (Ugandan red Colobus), 166 nucleotides long. RefSeq annotates it as U1 spliceosomal RNA. The record is from RefSeq and is a predicted model, not a curated record. Lineage: Eukaryota; Metazoa; Chordata; Mammalia; Primates; Cercopithecidae. The transcript has a single exon.